Molecule: transfer RNA, 73 nt
Filed under: Fidelibacterota bacterium
Lineage: Bacteria; Pseudomonadati; Fidelibacterota
Description: Candidatus Marinimicrobia bacterium tRNA-Gln
Rfam family: tRNA
About the family: Transfer RNA (tRNA) molecules are approximately 80 nucleotides in length. Their secondary structure includes four short double-helical elements and three loops (D, anti-codon, and T loops).
Source: RNAcentral
UGGGGCGUCGUCUAAUGGUAGGACACCUGGUUUUGGUCCAGGCAGUUGGGGGUUUGACUCCCCACGCCCCAGC